UACGAAGGGGGCUAGCGUUGCUCGGAAUCACUGGGCGUAAAGCGCACGUAGGCGGCUCUUUAAGUCAGGGGUGAAAUCCUGGAGCUCAACUCCAGAACUGCCUUUGAUACUGAGGAUCUUGAGUCCGGGAGAGGUGAGUGGGACUCCGAGUGUAGAGGUGAAAUUCGUAGAUAUUCGGAAGAACACCAGUGGCGAAGGCGGCUCACUGGCCCGGUACUGACGCUGAGGUGCGAAAGCGUGGGGAGCAAACAGG
This 253-nucleotide ribosomal RNA is filed under the name uncultured bacterium. RNAcentral's name for it is "partial 16S ribosomal RNA". It matches the Rfam family "Bacterial small subunit ribosomal RNA", at positions 524 to 776 of the family's 1533-position model. The record is from RNAcentral.